AAUUUGAAAUCUGGCUCCUUCGGGGCCCGAGUUGUAAUUUGUAGAGAGUGCUUCGGGGGAGACUGCGGUCUAAGUCCAUUGGAACAUGGCGUCCUAGAGGGUGAGAAUCCCGUAUGUGACCGUGGCUCGAACCCAUGUGAAGCCUCUUCGACGAGUCGAGUUGUUUGGGAAUGCAGCUCAAAAUGGGUGGUAAAUUUCAUCUAAAGCUAAAUACUGGCUGGAGACCGAUAGCGCACAAGUAGAGUGAUCGAAAGAUGAAAAGCACUUUGGAAAGAGAGUUAAAAAGUACGUGAAAUUGUUGAAAGGGAAGCGCUGGCAACCAGACCUGCCCGUAGGUGAUCAGCCGCUGUUCUCAGCGGUGCACUCGCUCUGCGAUCAGGCCAGCAUCGGUUCCGGCGGUCGGAUAAAGGCCUUGGGAAUGUAGCUUCCCUUCGGGGGAGUCUUAUAGCCCUCGGUGCAAUGCGGCCAGCCGGGACCGAGGACCGCGCUUCGGCUAGGAUGCUGGCGUAAUGGUUGUC
Molecule: ribosomal RNA, 518 nt
Filed under: Melanelixia subargentifera
Lineage: Eukaryota; Fungi; Ascomycota; Lecanoromycetes; Lecanorales; Parmeliaceae
Description: eukaryotic LSU rRNA
Rfam family: Eukaryotic large subunit ribosomal RNA
Source: RNAcentral